Molecule: ribosomal RNA, 440 nt
Filed under: uncultured bacterium
Lineage: Bacteria
Description: partial 16S ribosomal RNA
Rfam family: Bacterial small subunit ribosomal RNA
Source: RNAcentral
CCUACGGGGAGCAGCAGUGGGGAAUAUUGCACAAUGGGGGAAACCCUGAUGCAGCGACGCCGCGUGAGUGAAGAAGUAUUUCGGUAUGUAAAGCUCUAUCAGCAGGGAAGAAAAUGACGGUACCUGAUUAAGAAGCACCGACUAACUACGUGCCAGCAGCCGCGGGAAUACGUAGGGGGCAAGCGUUAUCCGGAUUUACUGGGUGUAAAGGGAGCGUAGACGGCAGCACAAGUCUGUAGUGAAAUGCCGGGGCUUAACCCCGGAACUGCUUUGGAAACUGUGCAGCUAGAGUGCAGGAGAGGUAAGUGGAAUUCCUAGUGGAGCGGUGAAAUGCGUAGAUAUUAGGAGGAACACCAGUGGCGAAGGCGGCUUACUGGACUGUAACUGACGUUGAGGCUCGAAAGCGUGGGGAGCAAACAGGAUUAGAUACCCGUGUAGUC